RNAcentral lists this ribosomal RNA (2042 nucleotides) under human gut metagenome. RNAcentral describes it as "bacterial LSU rRNA". It matches the Rfam family "Bacterial large subunit ribosomal RNA", at positions 1 to 2071 of the family's 2925-position model. The record is from RNAcentral.
UCAUGCUAGAAAGAGCGUAUGGUGGAUGCCUUGGCACUAAGAGCCGAUGAAAGACGUGAUAAGCUGCGAAAAGCUUCGGGGAGGAGCAAAUAUCCUUUGAUCCGGAGAUCUCUGAAUGGGGAAACCCACUUGAGCAAACCUCAAGUAUCCUAACGCCAAUACAUAACGUUAGGAGGGGAACCCGGUGAACUGAAACAUCUAAGUAGCCGGAGGAAGAGAAAACAACAUGUGAUUCUGUGAGUAGCGGCGAGCGAAAACGGAAGAGCCCAAACCGGGGUGCGUGCAUCCCGGGGUUCGGACCGCAUAAUUGAUUCAACGAAUUUAGCAGAACGGUUUUGGGAAAGCCGGCCAGAGAGGGUGAAAGCCCCGUAAGCGAAAGAUGAGUUGACAUGGCGGUAUCCAGACUAGGUCGAGACACGUGGAACCUUGACUGAAGAUGCGGGGACCACCCCGUAAGGCUAAAUACUCCUUAGUGACCGAUAGCGCAUAGUACUGUGAAGGAACGGUGAAAAGGACCCCGGGAGGGGAGUGAAACAGAACCUGAAACCAUAUGUUUACAAGCUGUGGAAGAGCUUUAUAUGCUCAACCGCGUACUUUUUGUAGAACGGUCCGGCGAGUUGCGCUGGCUGGCGAGGUUAAGCACCAAAGGUGUGGAGCCGAAGGGAAACCAAGUCUUAAUAGGGCGAAAGAGUCAGUCGGAGCAGACCCGAAACCGGGUGAUCUAUCCAUGUCCAGGUUGAAGUUGCCGUAAAAGGCAAUGGAGGACCGAACCCACAUCCGUUGAAAAGGGUGGGGAUGAGGUGUGGAUAGGGGAGAAAUUCCAAUCGAACCCGGAGAUAGCUGGUUCUCCUCGAAAUAGCUUUAGGGCUAGCCUCAUAUAAGUCUUGCGGAGGUAGAGCACUGAAUUUCCUAGGGGGCGUCAAAGCUUACCGAAGAAUAUCAAACUCCGAAUGCCGUGUAGAUGUUGUAUGGGAGUCAGACUGUACGAGAUAAGUUGGACAGUCAAAAGGGAAAGAGCCCAGACCUGCAGCUAAGGCCCCAAAAUGUGUGUUAAGUGGAAAAGGAUGUGGGAUUUCAAAGACAACUAGGAUGUUGGCUUAGAAGCAGCCAUACAUUCAAAGAGUGCGUAAUAGCUCACUAGUCGAGAGGUCCUGCGCCGAAAAUGUCCGGGGCUGAAACACACUGCCGAAGCUCAGGAAUUAACUGAUGUUAAUUGGUAGAGGAGCAUUGUAUACGGGACGAAGCAGUACCGAUAAGGAGCUGUGGACUGUAUAGAAGAGAGAAUGCCGGAAUGAGUAGCGAGAGGAAGGUGAGAAUCCUUCCGGCCGAAUAUCUAAGGUUUCCAGAGUAAAGCUGAUCUGCUCUGGGUAAGUCGGGGCCUAAGGCCAGGUCGAAAGACGUAACCGAUGGACAACAGGUUGAAAUUCCUGUACCUUAAGUAAACAGAACUGUGGGGACACGUGUGGAGAGCACAAGCCGGAAAUGGAAAAGCCGGUGCAAGCGGGGUAGGAGAUGAAUAGGCAAAUCCGUUCAUCAAUCCGAAGACGUGAUGCGGACCGAAUUAAGAGUAGGGAAGUGUGUGAGCCAUGCGUCAAGAAAAGCCGCUAUUGUUUUACUUAAGCCCGUACCGUAAACCGACACAGGUGGAUGAGGAGAGAAUCCUAAGGCCGACGGGAGAAGCAUUGUUAAGGAACUCGGCAAAAUGACUCCGUAACUUCGGGAGAAGGAGUGCCAGCGAGAGCUGGCCGCAGAGAAUUGGCCCAAGCAACUGUUUAGCAAAAACACAGGUCUAUGCAAAACCGUAAGGUGAAGUAUAUGGGCUGACGCCUGCCCGGUGCUGGAAGGUUAAGAGGAGAGGUUAGCGGCAACGCGAAGCUUUGAAUUUAAGCCCCAGUAAACGGCGGCCGUAACUAUAACGGUCCUAAGGUAGCGAAAUUCCUUGUCGGGUAAGUUCCGACCCGCACGAAAGGCGUAAUGAUUUGGGCACUGUCUCAACAAUGCACCCGGUGAAAUUGAAAUACCAGUGAAGAUGCUGGUUACCU